AGGAUCUAGUGCAAACAGCUGUUGUUGCAAAGGCACUUUAUUCAACUCAUUUCACGAAAUGGAUUGAGUUGUUCCCCAUUUGUUGUAUAGAUGCAUCAAGAGUUCAUGCCAGAUUUAUGUCACAUGGGAUACAUAUUACACUCAAUCACUGUACUAUAUUUAACAGUUCCACUAAUACUCUGUUUGCUUAAUUCUGGUACUAAAGCUUUCACCCCCAUAGCAUUGUCGCACAUGCAGGCCAGCUCCCUAGAGUUACCCUUACCAUCUGCUGUAUUCCUUCUUCAAAGCUGUCAGUGCUGAANNNUGCUGAAAUAUUAUACAAACCCAGUUCAAUUAACUUGUUCCAAUGGCAAAUGAGUAUUGAUCUCUUCCCAAUCCCUGAGCACCUUAAUAUGAGACUGAGCAUCCUUCAAAAUCUCCUUGAAUGAGAAGAAACUGGGAACAUGGGCAACGGUUGUGAAGUAUGAAGGAAUCCCAGGAAGCUCAAUAUUCUUGGCAAUGUUUGUGCGAGGAUCAUAACAAGCUAAGUUGCUGUUCUUAUGAUUCACUAAUAUUUUCUCGUCCUUGAGAUACUUUAUGGGUCGAUACUGACCAAUAUAGCACACUUCAGUCCAAGAAUCUUGCACACCAUAAUCCUUCAUCACCCACAAGUGAAAAGUACUGCCAUGAUCAAUCACAAAAAGGCAACCUCCCAGCUCUCCAAUGUUCACUCUCCACUUUACCCUGUACCCACGCGAAGCAAAUUGCGGCGGCCGGCCGUACAACACCAAAGCUUUCGGUUUCUAAAUCGAAUGAGAUAAUGAAAUCCGAGGCCGAGCUAUGGCCAUCAUCAGAAACCCAGUGAAUCUUUCCAUUCAAGAACACCCCUUUAAAGAAGAAGCUAGAGGAACAGGAUUUACGAAAGCCUUCAGGGGCACACCCAAUGCUCCUCCAGAAUUUCUCACCUAGUGUAUAUACCUCAGUCAUCAUGGCCCUCCGACUAACCAACCUCACAACCUUGUACUGGUGGGUUUUAGGACAGUAACCAAACCCAGAAACAACCUGACUAUGAAUCUCUUCGUGACCCAAGCCCUCUGUUCUUGAUGGAAGGUUUAUGUACUCGCCAGUUAUUGGAUUACACACGAUAACAGGGUUGUAGAGAGGAGGCUUCCCCAGGCAAAGGAAACCAUUACAUGAAUUCAAGAUAACAAGAUCAUGCAAUGGGAGCCUAAAUUUGAGUCUGGGUACUUGAACAUCAAGAUCAGCUGCGAUUUCGUGUUCCAGACGGAGCAAACAGAGAAAUCUAGAGAUGCGAUCGCCAACGCAAAGAAGAGCAUCGACGGGUGAUGUUGAGAAGUAGCUACGAGCGAAUUGAGGGUUUGAUGUGAUUAUGUGGCGGAGCGUAGUACAUACGCACCUGCAUGAUAUGAUAUUGUCGAUGGGGAGUCGGCAUAGUAUGUCGACAAGAAUAUCCACAGGCAGCUCUGUUAUGUUAGUGGAAACUGAUGAGCCUUUGCUUGCUUUUCUUGGUAGCUUUGGCGAUGAAUCCUGAUAAUCAUUUCCAAAUCCAAAGUUUUCUUUUUCCCUUGAUUUUUCUCGAAAAGCAAACAGAGCUUUGGACAACAACAUCUUUGACGAAAGUUAAAAUGCAG
Molecule: unclassified non-coding RNA, 1631 nt
Filed under: Hevea brasiliensis (rubber tree)
Lineage: Eukaryota; Viridiplantae; Streptophyta; Magnoliopsida; Malpighiales; Euphorbiaceae
Source: RNAcentral